Molecule: long non-coding RNA, 629 nt
Filed under: Linum usitatissimum (flax)
Lineage: Eukaryota; Viridiplantae; Streptophyta; Magnoliopsida; Malpighiales; Linaceae
Description: long non-coding RNA (LUSI_LNC001973)
Source: RNAcentral
UCGAUAUAACUUAUAAUUAUCCAAAAUAAAACCAUCCUCCCAAACAAUAUAGAUUAAGGAACUUCAAGCACAGUGUAAUGAUUAAAGGCCUGUUAACAUCUGAACUAAAAAUCCAUGACAAAGAGAAAGUAAAAAAAUGUGUAUACCCUCCUCCAACCAGCAGCAGGCCAACAACGAGCUUAGGCAAUUGGUUCUUUGCAGACUGCAUAAGACUUUGGAAAACUGAUGCUGGAGUGAACUCGGCGCCAUCAACAGCGAACGAGAAGAACGAUGCAGAGAAGAAACGGGAAGAUUUUUUCAAUGAUGCCUUUUGAGGUGGAGGUGAGCUCUCUUUCAUUGCAUCCUUCUGCAUUUCCUGUUUCCUAGCUUGUGGCCGGUCAAUUCUCACUUGUGCAUUCUUCUCUUGAUUGGAAGUAUUGUCAAUUUGAGCCAAGUCUUCAGCAGACAGUCUCUCCUGAACAGGCUCACCAACUAAAACAUCCCCAUAGGUUAGCAAAUCAAUUUCUUUUCCAAUAUCAACAUUGAGCUCAUUGUCUACCUUCUCGCCCUCGAGAACAGCCUCGUCACCAGAAAAGUAUCCCUGUGCUGUCUCGGAGGUAUCAACAUUAGACCCAGAGAGGAACUUUUCU